GAUGAACGCUAGCGAUAGGCUUAACACAUGCAAGUCGAGGGGCAGCAUGGUCUUAGCUUGCUAAGACUGAUGGCGACCGGCGCACGGGUGCGUAACGCGUAUGCAACUUGCCUCACAGAGGGGGAUAACCCGUCGAAAGACGGACUAAUACCGCGUACACUUGGGAUAGGGCAUCCUGACCCAAGGAAAUGAACUUCGCUGUGAGAUAGGCAUGCGUCCCCUUAGCUAGUUGGUGAGGUAACGGCUCACCAAGGCGACGAUGGGUAGGGGAACUGAGAUGGUGACACCACACACUGGAACUGAGGCACUGACCAGACAAGUACGAGAGGAAGCAGUGAGGAAUAUUGGUCAAUGGGCGAGAGCCUGAAGCAGACAAGUCGCGUGAAGGACGACUGUCUUAUGGAUGGUAAACUUCUUUUGUGCGGGAAUAACCAGAGCUACGUGUGGCUCCCUGCAUGUACCGGAUGAAUAAGCAUCGGCUCCCUCCGUG
This 490-nucleotide ribosomal RNA is filed under the name uncultured bacterium. Its description in RNAcentral is "partial 16S ribosomal RNA". It matches the Rfam family "Bacterial small subunit ribosomal RNA", at positions 28 to 507 of the family's 1533-position model. The record is from RNAcentral.